Molecule: ribosomal RNA, 496 nt
Filed under: uncultured Glomeromycotina
Lineage: Eukaryota; Fungi; Glomeromycota
Description: partial small subunit ribosomal RNA
Rfam family: Eukaryotic small subunit ribosomal RNA
Source: RNAcentral
CCAAUAGCGUAUAUUAAAGUUGUUGCAGUUAAAAAGCUCGUAGUUGAAUUUCGGGGUUCUACCGUUGGUCAGGCUAUUGUCUGCACUGGUGUGUAGAAUUUCUACCUUCUGGGGAACUAUCAUGUUAUUAAUUUAGCGUGGUAGGAAACCAGGACCUUUACCUUGAAAAAAUUAGAGUGUUCAAAGCAGGCUUAUGUCUGAAUACAUUAGCAUGGAAUAAUAAAAUAGGACGGUGGUCCUGUUUUGUUGGUUUCUGAAUCACCGUAAUUAUUAAUAGGGAUAGUUGGGGGGAUUAGUAUUCAAUUGUCAGAGGUGAAAUUCUUGGAUUUAUUGAAGACUAACUACUGCGAAAGCAUUUGCCAAGGAUGUUUUCAUUAAUCAAGAACGAAAGUUAGGGGAUCGAAGACGAUCAGAUACCGUCGUAGUCUUAACCAUAAACUAUGCCGACUAGGGAUCGGACGAUGUUAAUUUUUCUUGACUCGUUCGGCGCCUUACG